This 711-nucleotide ribosomal RNA is filed under the name Triticum aestivum (bread wheat). Its description in RNAcentral is "partial small subunit ribosomal RNA". The record is from RNAcentral. Lineage: Eukaryota; Viridiplantae; Streptophyta; Magnoliopsida; Poales; Poaceae.
AUGAAGAAAUCUUGUGCCUGCAAGAUUUGCGGAGAAAUAGGACACACCAAUGAAGAACACAAGGAUAGAUGCCCUCAUUGUGACGGAAAUCACCCAGCUGAAGAAUGCCUAACUGGGCAGGUUACUUGUUUCCUGUGUGAAGGAACUACGCACUACCCUGCUCAAUGUCAGAUUUACCCCAAGGUACAAGAAAUUACCAAGCAGCGUAAGGAAGCCAUGAAAGAAGCCCUCAGGGAAAGUUUAGAAGAACCCGUGAUGGAGGAAGUUAUUGAAGAUCCUGAUGGUGAAGGCCUAAACAGAUUUUUCGCCCAAGCCUGCUACUCAUGUGGAGAAGAAGGACAUUUUUCAGAGUAUUGCACGAAGGAAAGCCAAGAGUAUCUCGGAGACUUCCCGACAGCAGAAGUGAACUUUGACCCUCAAGAAAUAGAAGCUCUGAUCAUUACGGAGAAAUCCAGGAAGAGAAAACGAAGGCAUCCUCAGAACAACCCAAUUUUUGCAGAGAAGGACCCGAGUCAUAUCACUUGUUACAGAUGCAAGGAUUUAGGUCAUUAUGCUAGCAAAUGCCCAGCAAGGAAGCCAACAACCCAAGGAGCCAAGAUAACCACUAGGAAGCCCCUGGAUUUGUCUGAAGUCUUUUGUUUACGCUGCAAAGGAGUAGGAAAUUUUCCCAAAGAAUGUUCAGACCGAGGAAAGCUUGAGCAGAGUAGUUGA